GACGAACGCUGGCGGCGUGCCUAAUACAUGCAAGUCGAGCGAGUCAAUAGGAGCUUGCUCCUGUUGGUUAGCGGCGGACGGGUGAGUAACACGUGGGCAACCUGCCUGUAAGACUGGGAUAACUUCGGGAAACCGGAGCUAAUACCGGAUAAUCCUUUUCCACUCAUGUGGGAAAGCUGAAAGUCGGUUUCGGCUGACACUUACAGAUGGGCACGCGGCGCAUUAGCUAGUUGGCGAGGUAACGGCUCACCAAGGCGACGAUGCGUAGCCGACCUGAGAGGGUGAGCGGCCACACGGGGACUGAGACACGGCCCAGACUCCUACGGGAGGCAGCAGUAGGGAAUCUUCCGAAAUGGACGAAAGUCUGACGGAGCAACGCCGCGUGAGCGAUGAAGGCCUUCGGGUCGUAAAGCUCUGUUGUUAGGGAAGAAUAAGUAUCGGAGUAACUGCCGGUACCUUGACGGUACCUAACCAGAAAGCCACGGCUAACUACGUGCCAGCCGCCGCCGUAA
This 512-nucleotide ribosomal RNA is filed under the name uncultured bacterium. Its description in RNAcentral is "partial 16S ribosomal RNA". It matches the Rfam family "Bacterial small subunit ribosomal RNA", at positions 28 to 523 of the family's 1533-position model. The record is from RNAcentral.